AACCCACCGAUGAUGCAGGUUAGAGAACUUUCCCUGUCAGUUGCAGCCACGAGCAAGCCCAUAGAAUUCCAUCCCUCUGAUCAUACGGGGCACAGACAGUGGCAAGAGCGAGCGAAUUGAAACUGAUGUGUGAAGCUACAGCAUCGUGCGCACAUUUACCAUACUAAUGUGGAGGUCGACUCGUCUUUAGUGUAUUGCUGAUUGUCCAUCUUAUUGACUAAUCAUCGAUGCUGGCUGAGUGAAAAUCACUUGCCUGGUUUUGUGGAUUGCGCUCUGACGGCUAGUUCAUUGUAUCCUGGUGCUCUCCAUCCGACGGACGCACAACAAGAGCUGGCUUGGAUAAGUGAUAGUUUGAAGAUGAAUACCAAACCAGAAAAGGAGAAUGAAUUGAAUCACGAGUAUACAAAUCACGAGGAGGAGGUCAGGACACUAUUUGUCAGCGGUCUGCCCCUGGACAUCAAGCCGAGGGAGCUCUACCUCCUCUUCAGACCAUUCAAGGGCUAUGAAGGCUCCUUAAUAAAGCUUACCUCAAAACAGCCGGUGGGGUUUGUCAGCUUCGACAGUCGAUCAGAGGCCGAGGCGGCGAAGAACGCCCUGAACGGAGUCCGCUUCGACCCAGAGAUUCCCCAGACCCUGCGUCUGGAGUUCGCCAAAGCCAACACCAAGAUGGCCAAGAGCAAACUCGUGGGCACCCCUAACCCUCCCCCGUCCCAGCAAAGCCCUGGACCCCCCUUCAUCAGCAGAGACCCCUAUGAGCUCACAGUCCCUGCCCUCUACCCGGGCAGCCCCGACAUGUGGGCCUCGUACCCUCUGUACCCCGCCGAGCUGUCGCCCGCCCUCCCACCCACUUUCACCUACCCUUCCUCGCUGCACGCUCAGAUUCGCUGGCUUCCCCCGGCAGAUGGCAGUCCUCAGGGCUGGAAGUCCCGACAGUUCUGCUGAAAAAUAUGUUCCUUUUGUGUGAUGGUGGCUAGGACUGGCCUUGAUGGAGUGUUGCGUGGCUUCUGCAGUCCAACCAGGGAGGUACCAGACCUCUCUACCCUUACAGUGGACCACUGGUAAAAACACCUCCCAGGAUUUCUGGACACUCAAGACCCCUUCUGCCUCCAUCACACAAUAUUAUCCUCUCUACCUCCCUCUCUCACUCACUCCCUCUCUCCCUCCCUCCCUCCCCUCCUCUUCUUUCCUUCCCCUUCUUUUUUAUUCUACUGUUACGCCAGAAGUCGUCCUGGUAACGCCUCCUUCAAUGGGCCCGUCGUAUAAGACCUACGGUCUCUGCGAGCCCCAAGCCUUAACACCCUCCUAAGCGAAGCUGUGAUGUUCACGUUGGUGCAGGUGUGCAGUUAGUGUGUGUGUGUGUGUGUGUGUGUUUGUAGGUGUACGAUGCUUAUGAAGGUGUUAAGGGCCGGAGGGACCCAAUCAUGUUUUAUAGUGCUCAUGUGAGCACGGCCUUUCAACAAGGCGAAGACUGACGGACCUGUAAAAUUUUAACCAAAGGAGCUUAUGAAAAUCAACAUUGUGUCGCUAGGAGUACAAAGCACGUACCAUGUGGUAUGCAGUGUGCAAUUCCUCAUGACAGUGUGUGUGUGUGUAUGUGUGUGUGUGUGUGUGUGUGUGUGUGUGUGUGUGUGUGUGUGUGUGUGUGUGUGUGUGUUUUUGGUCUGAAAGACAUCCUACUGAAGUGAAUAGUGGUGAAGUUGUUUUUACCAAAAAACACAACUAAACAUUGAGAUUGAUAGACAAGCAAGACAAUCCCUCAGCUGGGUCUGAAGACAGCAGAAACUUCACUUCAUUGCGCGCACAGACACACACACACACACACACAAUUAAACACUGUGAUUAAAAACUGAGAGUAGCCCCUGUCUGCCCUAGUUCAUCCUCGCCUCAAAGAAAUAAGUCAACAAAAUGGUGUGUAAUGUCUACCAACAUGUUUGAUACUUCUAGUAGACAGAGGUUGGUGAAUAUUAUCCGGUUCAGUGUAGAACAAGUGUAGUUUUAAAUACCAAGGAAUGUGGCGUAAACUAGUUGUCAUUAGAUGUGGUUCUAAUCAGUAGACUGAUGGUUAUUUUGAAAGGGAUAAGGCCCUACUGUGCAGUGUGCAAAGCCAAUAGCAUCGUGUGCACCAUAUGCCAAGCUCCUUUCAUUAAAAUGUUACUGAAUUAUUA
Alosa alosa (allis shad) is the source of this 2165-nucleotide RNA transcript. It is a transcript of the gene named RNA-binding protein with multiple splicing-like, with no coding region annotated. NCBI's taxonomy places the organism in Eukaryota, Metazoa, Chordata, Actinopteri, Clupeiformes, Clupeidae. The transcript is spliced from 9 exons. The record is from RefSeq and is a predicted model, not a curated record.